AAACAUUUUAUGGCCGGUUGGUUGGUGAUUUUUUAAGGAGAUUGUUCCAAAGCUAAUCCAAUGUUGUUUUCUUGAAAGAAGAUUAUGUAGCUUAUGCUGGUUUCUUAAAGGAAAAUGGUGAAACACUGGUGACUUGGAAAAGGGCAGCGUCCAUGGAUGAGGUUCUCCAGGAGGCUGAUAUAAUUAGUCUUCAUCCUAUCCUGGACAAAACCACUUAUCAUCUAGUCAACAAGGAAAGACUUGCCAAGAUGAAGAAGGUUAUAAACCCUCUUUGGCCAUGAAGAGAUCUUUGAAAAGAAUCAAUUUAGGGAAGGUUGUACCCACUGGCUGUUUCCACUGGCUGUUUGAGACUGAACCGCAAUCAUAUACUAUACCUUUGAACUCAUUAGUCAUGGUGUAAAACUAUUAGUAGCUCUGUAUUUGGUUUUGUCUUCACACUAGAAGUACAUUUAUGAUAUUUCAUGAUCGCGUAAUCUAAUGCUAGAAUUGUAU
Long non-coding RNA from Vicia villosa (hairy vetch), 492 nucleotides. RefSeq lists it as uncharacterized. The record is from RefSeq and is a predicted model, not a curated record. NCBI's taxonomy places the organism in Eukaryota, Viridiplantae, Streptophyta, Magnoliopsida, Fabales, Fabaceae. The transcript has 4 exons.